UGAUUCUAAGCUGUUACCACGGCUGGGAUCACCGCUUUAAAAGGAAGGGGGAGCACAGGAGGCUCCAGCAAGGAGCCUCUGAGGGCUAUUGCCAGUGAGACACCACACAUUCAGUUAGGUGGCCGUGGGGGCUAGUUUAUCACCAUCAUCAUUGUCACGGUCAUUACUGCUGCUCCUGCUACCUUUACUGAAGCACAAAGUAUGGGAGCGGGGCGGGGAAAUAGCAAAGAGGAAACCUUCCAGGAAAGUGCUUGGUACAGACAAACAGAAAGGAACUGGAAGUCUCCAAGUACUGCAGAACUAACCCGAGGCUCGGGGCGCCUGGGGGGCUCAGUCAGGGAAGACGUGAUCUCCUUCGUUUCCCCACACAGAUCUGUCGUUGUGACGUGCCCUCAGUAAUCUGUACACCCGACGUGGGGCUCAGACUCAAGCCCAGAGGAUCAGGACUGCAUGCUCCACCCACUAAGCCAGCCGGGCGCCCCUCCUCUCAUAAUGUGAAGCAGCUAGCUGAAAACGGAGUCAUCUUAUCUGAGGAAGUGAUUAAACGCAUA
Suricata suricatta (meerkat) is the source of this 551-nucleotide long non-coding RNA. RefSeq lists it as uncharacterized. The transcript is spliced from 3 exons. The record is from RefSeq and is a predicted model, not a curated record. Lineage: Eukaryota; Metazoa; Chordata; Mammalia; Carnivora; Herpestidae.